GAUGAACGCUGGCGGCGUGCCUAAUACAUGCAAGUCGAGCGAACGGACGAGAAGCUUGCUUCUCUUAUGUUAGCGGCGGACGGGUGAGUAACACGUGGAUAACCUACCUUUAAGACUGGGAUAACUUCUGGAAACCGUAGCUAAUACCGGAUAAUAUUUUUAACCGCAUGGUUCAAAAUUGAAAGACGCUCUUGCUGUCACUUAUAGAUGGAUCCGCGCUGCAUUAGCUAGUUGGUAAGGUAACGGCUUACCAAGGCAACGAUGCAUAGCCGCCCUGAGAGGGGAUUGGCCCCAUCGGGACCUGGGAACCGGCCAAACCUCCUACGGGAGGCAGCAGAAGGGAAUCUUCCGCAAUGGGCGAAAGCCUGACGGAGAAACGCCGCGUGGGUAAGGAAGGUCUUCGGAUCGUAAAACUCUGUUAUUAGGGAAGAACAUAUGUGGAAGUAACUGUGCACAUCUUGACGGUAACUAAUCAGAAAGCCACGGCUAACUACGUG
Molecule: ribosomal RNA, 497 nt
Filed under: uncultured bacterium
Lineage: Bacteria
Description: partial 16S ribosomal RNA
Rfam family: Bacterial small subunit ribosomal RNA
Source: RNAcentral